This 468-nucleotide ribosomal RNA is filed under the name uncultured bacterium. RNAcentral's name for it is "partial 16S ribosomal RNA". It matches the Rfam family "Bacterial small subunit ribosomal RNA", at positions 28 to 507 of the family's 1533-position model. The record is from RNAcentral.
GACGAACGCUGGCGGCGUGCUUAACACAUGCAAGUCGAACGGAAAGGCCCUGCUUUUGUGGGGUGCUCGAGUGGCGAACGGGUGAGUAACACGUGAGUAACCUGCCCUUGACUUUGGGAUAACUUCAGGAAACUGGGGCUAAUACCGGAUAGGAGCUCCUGCUGCAUGGUGGGGGUUGGAAAGUUUCGGCCGUUGGGGAUGGACUCGCGGCUUAUCAGCUUGUUGGUGGGGUAGUGGCUUACCAAGGCUUUGACGGGUAGCCGGCCUGAGAGGGUGACCGGGGACAUUGGGACUGAGAUACGGACCAGACGCCUACGGGAGGCAGCAGUGGAGAAUAUUACACAAUGGGCGGAAGCCUGAUGCAGAAACGCCGCGUGCGGGAUGACGGGCUUCGGGUUGUAAACCGCUUUCGCCUGUGACGAAGCGUGAGUGACGGUAAUGGGUAAAGAAGCACCGGCUAACUACGUG